Molecule: long non-coding RNA, 240 nt
Organism: Mustela erminea (ermine)
Lineage: Eukaryota; Metazoa; Chordata; Mammalia; Carnivora; Mustelidae
Exons: 3
Source: RefSeq, a predicted model, not a curated record
AAGAUGCUGCAGAAGUGGAAAUGGUAUAAUAAAGGGAAACCAGAUAGAAAACAAUUUCUAACUCAGCCUUAAGUGUCAAGGCUUCAUUUUCUCAGACCAGAAAUGCUUAGGUGUGUGGUGACCCCAGACUCAUGAAAAGAAGAUAAAGUGGAGUUAUCCUGGAUCAAGGAUCAGUUCGAUUGGACUGGAUUCACGUGGAAUGACUCUACGGCCCAGAGAGAGACACAUCGAAGAGGGAAC